GUCAGUAGAAUAGUUCAGUCAGUAGAGUGUAAGAUUCUUAAUCUCAGGGUUCUGGGUUCGAACCCCACACUGGACA
Non-coding RNA from Podarcis lilfordi (Lilford's wall lizard), 76 nucleotides. The record is from the annotation of a GenBank genome assembly. Lineage: Eukaryota; Metazoa; Chordata; Lepidosauria; Squamata; Lacertidae.